CCGGUUCAUUGCCAAACUGGGACCAGUUUAAUUCCCAAACUGGGACCGGUUCAUUCCCAAACUGGGACCAGUUUAAUUCCCAAACUGGGAUCGGUUCAUUGCCAAACUGGGACCGGUUCAUUCCCAAACUGGGACCAGUUUAAUUCCCAAACUGGGACCGGUUCAUUCCCAAACUGGCACCAGUUUACUUCCCAAACUGGGACUGGCUCAAUCCCAAACUGGGACCGGUUUAAUUCCCAGACUGGGACUGGUUCAUUCCCAGCUGGAUCCACCCCAGCGCCUCUUCCUCUUCCUCUUCCUCCUCCUCCUCUUCCUCCUCCUCCUCUUCCUCCUCCUCCUCCUCCUCCUCUCUCAUUGUUUGGGAAAACCGAUGGGAUUUUGGCUGAGUUCCUCCAACAGAGGAGCCGGAAUCGGAGCGACCAUUCCCAGCUGGAUCCACCCCAAGGUUCCACCACUUUUCCGGGAUUUGGGCUGCAGCCUCUGCUCCCGCUGCCCUUCCUCUUCCUUUUUGCCUUCUCCUCUUCCUCCUCCCUCAUUUUUUGGGAAAACCGAUGGGAUUUUGGGGGGAUUCCUCCAACAGAGGAGCCGGAACCAGAGCGGCCAUUCCCAGCUGGAUCCACCCCAGUGCCUCUUCCUCUUCCUCUUCCUCCUCCUCCUCCACCUCCUCUUCCUCCUCCUCCCUCAUUUUUUGGGAAAACCGAUGGGAUUUUGGGUGAGUUCCUCCAACAGAGGAGCCGGAACCGGAGCGACCAUUCCCAGUUUCUCCUCCUCCUCCUCCUCCUCACUUUUCCGGGAUUUGGGCUGCAGCCUCUACUCCCGCUGCCCUUCCUCCUCCUCCUCCUCCUCGUCGCGGCGCUCGGGGCGGUACUUGCGGCGCCGCAGGGCCUCGGUGAGGCUGCGGGGUGCCGACGCCGCCGGCUCCUGGCGCUCCUGGAAGUUGCGGUCCAGCAGCUCGGCCGCCUGGCGCCAGCCGUGGAAGCAGGAGCUUCCCAAAUCCCGGAUCUCCGGCACCGCGUCCGCAACCAGCACGGCCCCGCUGGGCGCCAGCACCACCACGGCCGGCAGCUGCGACACCCCGAAACGGCGCUCCAGCUCCCUGGAAACGGCAAACGCGAGGGAAGGGAGACGGCGAGUUCGGGAUGGGAAAUGGGGAAAUUGGGAAUGGGGAAAUUGGGGGAAUUGGGGGAAUUGGGGGAAUUGGGGAAAUUGGGGGAGUUCGGGAC
RNAcentral lists this long non-coding RNA (1223 nucleotides) under Chloebia gouldiae (Gouldian finch). RNAcentral's name for it is "Erythrura gouldiae (Gouldian finch) lncRNA (ENSEGOG00005017294.1)". The record is from RNAcentral. Lineage: Eukaryota; Metazoa; Chordata; Aves; Passeriformes; Passeridae.